UGGGGAAUAUUGGACAAUGGGCGCAAGCCUGAUCCAGCCAUGCCGCGUGAGUGAUGAAGGCCCUAGGGUUGUAAAGCUCUUUCACCGGUGAAGAUAAUGACGGUAACCGGAGAAGAAGCCCCGGCUAACUUCGUGCCAGCAGCCGCGGUAAUACGAGGGGGCUAGCGUUGUUCGGAUUUACUGGGCGUAAAGCGCACGUAGGCGGACUUUUAAGUCAGGGGUGAAAUCCCGGGGGCUCAACCCCGGAACUGCCUUUGAUACUGGAAGUCUUGAGUAUGGUAGAGGUGAGUGGAAUUCCGAGUGUAGAGGUGAAAUUCGUAGAUAUUCGGAGGAACACCAGUGGCGAAGGCGGCUCACUGGACCAUUACUGACGCUGAGGUGCGAAAGCGUGGGGGAGCAAACAGGAUUAGAUACCCUGGUAGUCCACGCCGUAAACGAUGAAUGUUAGCCGUUGGGGAGUUUACUCUUCGGUGGCGCAGCUUUAACGCAUUAAACAUUCCGCCUGGGGAGUACGGUCGCAAGAUUAAAACUUAAAUGAAUUGACGGGGAUCAUAGCUG
Molecule: ribosomal RNA, 558 nt
Filed under: uncultured bacterium
Lineage: Bacteria
Description: partial 16S ribosomal RNA
Rfam family: Bacterial small subunit ribosomal RNA
Source: RNAcentral